GACGAACGCUGGCGGCGUGCUUAACACAUGCAAGUCGAACGGAAAGGCCCUGCUUUUGUGGGGUGCUCGAGUGGCGAACGGGUGAGUAACACGUGAGUAACCUGCCCUUGACUUUGGGAUAACUUCAGGAAACUGGGUCUAAUACCGGAUAGGAGCUCCUGCUGCAUGGGGGGGGUUGGAAAGUUUCGGCGGUUGGGGAUGGACUCGCGGCUUAUCAGCUUGUUGGUGGGGUAGUGGCUUACAAAGGCUUUGACGGGUAGCCGGCCUGAGAGGGUGACCGGCCACAUUGGGACUGAGAUACGGCGCAGACUCCUACGGGAGGCAGCAGUGGGGAAUAUUGCACAAUGGGCGGAAGCCUGAUGCAGCAACGCCGCGUGCGGGAUGACGGCCUUCGGGUUGUAAACCGCUUUCGCCUGUGACGAAGCGUGAGUGACGGUAAUGGGUAAAGAAGCACCGGCUAACUACGUG
This 468-nucleotide ribosomal RNA is filed under the name uncultured bacterium. Its description in RNAcentral is "partial 16S ribosomal RNA". It matches the Rfam family "Bacterial small subunit ribosomal RNA", at positions 28 to 507 of the family's 1533-position model. The record is from RNAcentral.